Molecule: non-coding RNA, 73 nt
Organism: Salmo salar (Atlantic salmon)
Lineage: Eukaryota; Metazoa; Chordata; Actinopteri; Salmoniformes; Salmonidae
Source: Rfam
GUACAUGUGACUCAGUUGGUAGAGCAUGGUGUUUGCAACGCCAGGGUUGUGGGUUGGAUUCCCACGGGGGACC